GCCAAUAAUUGAAACAAUCUGUCAGCCCAUUUUAUAGAAAAAACACUCAAAUAUUAAGAAAAUUAUGAAACAUGCCACUGAGACUCACAUAACCCAUUUCUCCCAAAAUCAGAACGGUUCCAAAAUCGAAACCAUCCCAAAAUCCAAAUCCUCCCUAAAUCGAUCUAGGGCUCCGACGAAGGUAGGGGACGAAGAAGCUGGCGGAUCGAGGCAGCGAAGCAACCGAUGAAGGGAGGCUGCGAAUCCUGCGAAGGGAGGCUGCCAAUCAGGUGAAGCAAGGCUGCGAUGCAACUUGCGAAGCGAGGCUGUGAAGCCUGCGAAGUGAGGCGGCGAAGGGAGGCUGCGAAGGUUAUCAAUUUGACUAUGUAUUUGAUUGGACAAUACUGAAGUAUCCACAAAUUGGCUCCGGUUCCAAAACACGAGCAAGUGCAAAACCAGCUUUGAACCCUAGACCUUCUGCAGAAAGAACAGAAACGCCUUCAGUGGGACAAGAUUUUCGAGAUAGAUUCUCAGGUGCGGUUGAAGCAUUUUCUAGAAGGAAUGGUUAUGGGCAUGGUUCACAUGGUGAUAACUCCAUACAUAGAUCAACUGAUGAUGCGCCAUCAUCCAAAGAUGUGGUGAGUGGUGCCAACAUCUUAUACACUUUAUGUUUGAGAAAUUCUGAGGGUCAGUACCUUUAGC
This is a long non-coding RNA of Rosa chinensis, 681 nucleotides long. RefSeq lists it as uncharacterized. The transcript has 4 exons. The record is from RefSeq and is a predicted model, not a curated record. NCBI's taxonomy places the organism in Eukaryota, Viridiplantae, Streptophyta, Magnoliopsida, Rosales, Rosaceae.